GUCUCUUUGUAGUAUGUAAAUAAAGAGUUGGGCCUGCUCGGUGAAUAAUUUUUAACAGCUGCGGUAUUUUAACUGUACUAAGGUAGCAUAAUAAUUUGCCUUAUAAUUUGAGGCUAGAAUGAAUGGUUUGACGAAGGUUAAACUGYCUCCAUCUUAUUUUUUAGAAUUUAAUUUUUAUAGUGAAAAAGCUUAAAUUUUUUAAAGGGACGAGAAGACCCUAAUGAGCUUAUAAUUUUAUUAUUAUGAUUUGAUAUAUUUGAAUGAUAAUAUAUAAAUUUUAAUUGGGGUGAUUAAGGAAUAAGGUUUUAUAUUAAUAACUUCCUUAAAUUAAAUAUAUAUGUAUUAAGUAACCAAUAAAUAUAUUGCUUAUAAUAUAGUUACCAUAGGGAUAACAGSGUAAUUUGUUUAGAGAGUUCUUAUUGAAAAACAAGAUUGCGACCUCGAUGUUGGAUUAAAGUAACCUUAAGGUGCAGAAGCUUUAUUAGGUAAAUCUGUUCGAUUUUUAAUAC
This 509-nucleotide ribosomal RNA is filed under the name Nototodarus hawaiiensis. RNAcentral's name for it is "partial 16S ribosomal RNA". It matches the Rfam family "Bacterial large subunit ribosomal RNA", at positions 1817 to 2594 of the family's 2925-position model. The record is from RNAcentral. Lineage: Eukaryota; Metazoa; Mollusca; Cephalopoda; Oegopsida; Ommastrephidae.